UACGUAGGUGACAAGCGUUGUCCGGAUUUAUUGGGCGUAAAGAGCGUGUAGGCGGCCAGGUAGGUCUGCUGUGAAAACUCGAGGCUCAACCUCGAGAUGUCGGCUGAAACCAUCUGGCUAGAGUCCGGAAGAGGAGAAUGGAAUUCCCGGUGUAGCGGUGAAAUGCGCAGAUAUCGGGAAGAACACCCGUGGCUAAGGCGGCUCUCUAGUACGGUACUGACGCUGAGACGCGAAAGCGUGGGGAGCGAACAGG
This 253-nucleotide ribosomal RNA is filed under the name uncultured bacterium. RNAcentral describes it as "partial 16S ribosomal RNA". It matches the Rfam family "Bacterial small subunit ribosomal RNA", at positions 524 to 776 of the family's 1533-position model. The record is from RNAcentral.